CACACUGUAAACGAUGAUUACUAGGUGUGGGGGGAUUGACCCCCUCCGUGCCGCAGUUAACACAAUAAGUAAUCCACCUGAGUAGUACGGCCGCAAGGUUGAAACUCAAAGGAAUUGACGGGGGCCCGCACAAGCAGUGGAGUAUGUGGUUUAAUUCGACGCUACGCGAAAAACCUUACCAGGUCUUGACAUCCGACUAACGAAGCAGAGAUGCAUCAGGUGCCCUUCGGGGAAAGUCGAGACAGGUGG
This 249-nucleotide ribosomal RNA is filed under the name uncultured Oscillospiraceae bacterium. RNAcentral's name for it is "partial 16S ribosomal RNA". It matches the Rfam family "Bacterial small subunit ribosomal RNA", at positions 796 to 1041 of the family's 1533-position model. Lineage: Bacteria; Bacillati; Bacillota; Clostridia; Eubacteriales; Oscillospiraceae. The record is from RNAcentral.